UACGGAGGGUCCAAGCGUUAUCCGGAAUCAUUGGGUUUAAAGGGUCCGUAGGCGGUCUUAUAAGUCAGUGGUGAAAUCUCCUAGCUCAACUAGGAAACUGCCAUUGAUACUGUAAGACUUGAAUUUUUGUGAAGUAACUAGAAUAUGUAGUGUAGCGGUGAAAUGCUUAGAUAUUACAUGGAAUACCAAUUGCGAAGGCAGGUUACUAACAAACGAUUGACGCUGAUGGACGUAAGCGUGGGGAGCGAACAGG
Molecule: ribosomal RNA, 253 nt
Filed under: uncultured bacterium
Lineage: Bacteria
Description: partial 16S ribosomal RNA
Rfam family: Bacterial small subunit ribosomal RNA
Source: RNAcentral